This 891-nucleotide ribosomal RNA is filed under the name uncultured marine bacterium. RNAcentral's name for it is "bacterial SSU rRNA". It matches the Rfam family "Bacterial small subunit ribosomal RNA", at positions 53 to 949 of the family's 1533-position model. The record is from RNAcentral.
GCAUGCAAGUUGAGCGAAGCUUUUUGGUAGUUUACUACUAGAAAUGACUGAGCGGCGAACGGGUGAGUAACGCGUGAGCAAUCUACCUUAGUUACUGGGAUAGCCCGAGGAAACUCGGAUUAAUACCGGAUAUUCUUAUUUUUUCACAUGAAGUUUUAAGGAAAGGUCAGCCGAACUAAGAUGAGCUCGCGUUCUAUCAGCUAGUUGGUGGGGUAAAAGCCUACCAAGGCUACGACGGAUAGCUGGUCUGAGAGGACGAUCAGCCACACUGGGACUGAGACACGGCCCAGACUCCUACGGGAGGCUGCAGCAGGGAAUAUUGUGCAAUGAGCGAAAGCUUGACACAGCGACACCGCGUGUGGGAUGACGGUUCUAGGAUUGUAAACCACUUUCAGGAGGGAAGAAAAUGACGGUACCUCCACAAGAAGACCCGGCCAACUAUGUGCCAGCAGCCGCGGUAAUACAUAGGGGUCAAGCGUUGUCCGGAUUUAUUGGGCGUAAAGAGCUCGUAGGCGGUUCAACAAGUCGGUCGUAAAAGUUUAGGGCUCAACCCUAAAAUGUCGAUCGAUACUGUUGUGACUAGGAUACGGUAGAGGUGAAUGGAAUUCCGAGUGUAGCGGUGAAAUGCGUAGAUAUUCGGAGGAACACCAAUUGCGAAGGCAGUUCACUGGACCGUGAUCGACGCUGAGGAGCGAAAGCUAGGGGAGCAAACAGGAUUAGAUACCCUGGUAGUCCUAGCUGUAAACGAUGGAUACUAGAUGUAGGAACUGGAUUGACGGUUUCUGUAUCGUAGCUAACGCGUUAAGUAUCCCGCCUGGGGAGUACGGUCGCAAGACUAAAACUCAAAGGAAUUGACGGGACCCCGCACAAGCGGCGGAGCAUGCGGCUUAU